Molecule: ribosomal RNA, 622 nt
Filed under: uncultured bacterium
Lineage: Bacteria
Description: bacterial SSU rRNA
Rfam family: Bacterial small subunit ribosomal RNA
Source: RNAcentral
UCUCUUGAGAGCGGCGGACGGGUGAGUAAUGCCUAGGAAUCUGCCUGGUAGUGGGGGAUAACGUUCGGAAACGGACGCUAAUACCGCAUACGUCCUACGGGAGAAAGCAGGGGACCUUCGGGCCUUGCGCUAUCAGAUGAGCCUAGGUCGGAUUAGCUAGUUGGUGGGGUAAUGGCUCACCAAGGCGACGAUCCGUAACUGGUCUGAGAGGAUGAUCAGUCACACUGGAACUGAGACACGGUCCAGACUCCUACGGGAGGCAGCAGUGGGGAAUAUUGGACAAUGGGCGAAAGCCUGAUCCAGCCAUGCCGCGUGUGUGAAGAAGGUCUUCGGAUUGUAAAGCACUUUAAGUUGGGAGGAAGGGUUGUAGAUUAAUACUCUGCAAUUUUGACGUUACCGACAGAAUAAGCACCGGCUAACUCUGUGCCAGCAGCCGCGGUAAUACAGAGGGUGCAAGCGUUAAUCGGAAUUACUGGGCGUAAAGCGCGCGUAGGUGGUUUGUUAAGUUGGAUGUGAAAUCCCCGGGCUCAACCUGGGAACUGCAUUCAAAACUGACUGACUAGAGUAUGGUAGAGGGUGGUGGAAUUUCCUGUGUAGCGGUGAAAAUGCGUAGAUAUAGGAA